This 480-nucleotide ribosomal RNA is filed under the name uncultured bacterium. RNAcentral's name for it is "partial 16S ribosomal RNA". It matches the Rfam family "Bacterial small subunit ribosomal RNA", at positions 29 to 507 of the family's 1533-position model. The record is from RNAcentral.
AUGAACGCUGGCGGCGUGCUUAACACAUGCCAGUCGAACGAAGCAUUUAAGACAGAUUACUUCGGUUUGAAGUCUUUUAUGACUGAGUGGCGGACGGGUGAGUAACGCGUGGGUAACCUGCCUCAUACAGGGGGAUAGCAGCUGGAAACGGCUGGUAAUACCGCAUAAGCGCACAGUACCACAUGGUACAGUGUGAAAAACUCCGGUGGUAUGAGAUGGACCCGCGUCUGAUUAGCUUGUUGGCGGGGUAACGGCCCACCAAGGCGACGAUCAGUAGCCGACCUGAGAGGGUGACCGGCCACAUUGGGACUGAGACACGGCCCAGACUCCUACGGGAAGCAGCAGUGGGGAAUAUUGCACAAUGGAGGAAACUCUGAUGCAGCGACGCCGCGUGAGUGAAGAAGUAGUUCGCUAUGUAAAGCUCUAUCAGCAGGGAAGAUAGUGACGGUACCUGACUAAGAAGCUCCGGCUAAAUACGUG